UACGGGGGGGGCAAGCGUUGUUCGGAAUUACUGGGCGUAAAGGGCUCGUAGGUGGCCGACUAAGUCAUACGUGAAAUCCCUCAGCUUAACUGGGGAACUGCGUCUGAUACUGGAUGGCUUGAGUUUGGGAGAGGGAUGCGGAAUUCCAGGUGUAGCGGUGAAAUGCGUAGAUAUCUGGAGGAACACCGGUGGCGAAGGCGGCAUCCUGGACCAAUACUGACACUGAGGAGCGAAAGCCAGGGGAGCAAACGGG
RNAcentral lists this ribosomal RNA (253 nucleotides) under uncultured bacterium. Its description in RNAcentral is "partial 16S ribosomal RNA". It matches the Rfam family "Bacterial small subunit ribosomal RNA", at positions 524 to 776 of the family's 1533-position model. The record is from RNAcentral.